UAAAACGUAGGGGGCGAGCGUUAUCCGGAAUCACUGGGCGUAAAGGGCGUCUAGGCGGCACGUCAAGUCUUGCGUGAAAUCUCCUGGCUCAACUAGGAGAGUGCGUGGGAAACUAGCGAGCUAGAGACGUGGAGGGGUGCACGGAAUUCCCGGUGGAGUGGUGGAAUGCGUUGAGAUCGGGAGGAACACCAGAAGCGAAGGCGGUGCACUGGCCACGGACUGACGCUGAAGCGCGACAGCGUGGGGAGCGAACGGGAUUAGAUACCCCGGUAGUCCACGCCGUAAACGAUGACGACUAGGUGUGUGUAACCGAAGGGUUAUGCGUACCGCAGCAAACGCGAUAAGUCGUCCGCCUGGGGAGUACGGCCGCAAGGCUA
Molecule: ribosomal RNA, 377 nt
Filed under: uncultured bacterium
Lineage: Bacteria
Description: bacterial SSU rRNA
Rfam family: Bacterial small subunit ribosomal RNA
Source: RNAcentral